RNAcentral lists this transfer RNA (73 nucleotides) under Trichonephila clavata. It matches the Rfam family "tRNA". Rfam says of the family: Transfer RNA (tRNA) molecules are approximately 80 nucleotides in length. Their secondary structure includes four short double-helical elements and three loops (D, anti-codon, and T loops). The record is from Rfam by way of RNAcentral. Lineage: Eukaryota; Metazoa; Arthropoda; Arachnida; Araneae; Nephilidae.
AUCCCUGUAGCGCAAUGGAUAGUGCUUUGGACUUCUAAUCCAAAGGUCGUUGGUUCGAAUCCUACCUGGGAUG